RNAcentral lists this long non-coding RNA (568 nucleotides) under Vigna radiata. RNAcentral describes it as "long non-coding RNA (VRAD_LNC008985)". The record is from RNAcentral. Lineage: Eukaryota; Viridiplantae; Streptophyta; Magnoliopsida; Fabales; Fabaceae.
AAAAAAAAAAUUAAAACGAAAAAGUAUAUGCCGCGGUUGUGGUAAGAACCGCGGCAUAUUCCCCUACAGUUUUUUAAAAUCGCAGGUCUGUUUUUGUGAUAUCCACUACCACAAAAACAGACCUGCAUAUAAAAACAUAUACAGAAAUUCAAUUUCAACAUAACAAAGACAUGUUCAAAUGUAUUUCAACAUCAAAUAAAGUACAGAGUCUAAAAAAAUACAAUCUAAUCAAAUGCAAUGUUUACAUCUAAGAGCUAUUGUAUAAUCUAAUUAUAGACUUCGCAGCAGCCUUCCUAAUGAAUAGUAGUGGCUUCUCAGGAACUGGUGUAGUAGUCUUGAAUCUCUGCAAAAGACAAUUCAUAUUAAUUAGUGUAUAUGAAUUCAACAUUUGGGAAAAAAAUCAAAAUUUGUUAAAGUUAAAUAUUACCGUUUCCCAGCGACUUGUGAUGUGAGAACGAACAAUAUGGGUCAUCCAAUACAUUACAUAGUAUCCGCACUCGUAUGACCCAUUUUGUCUGUUACACUACAAUAUAUCAUCACAGUUGAUAAUAGUUAGUGAAUAACAUUA